ACUUAAAUUGAAGAGUUUGAUCAUGGCUCAGAUUGAACGCUGGCGGCAGGCCUAACACAUGCAAGUCGAGCGGUAGCACAGAGAGCUUGCUCUCGGGUGACGAGCGGCGGACGGGUGAGUAAUGUCUGGGAAACUGCCUGAUGGAGGGGGAUAACUACUGGAAACGGUAGCUAAUACCGCAUAACGUCGCAAGACCAAAGUGGGGGACCUUCGGGCCUCAUGCCAUCAGAUGUGCCCAGAUGGGAUUAGCUAGUAGGUGGGGUAACGGCUCACCUAGGCGACGAU
Molecule: ribosomal RNA, 285 nt
Filed under: Klebsiella pneumoniae
Lineage: Bacteria; Pseudomonadati; Pseudomonadota; Gammaproteobacteria; Enterobacterales; Enterobacteriaceae
Description: partial 16S ribosomal RNA
Rfam family: Bacterial small subunit ribosomal RNA
Source: RNAcentral